CCUACGGGAGGCUGCAUUGGGGAAUAUUGGACAAUGGGGGCAACCCUGAUCCAGCCAUGCCGCGUGUGUGAAGAAGGCCCUCGGGUUGUAAAGCACUUUCAGUGAGGAAGAAUGCCUGGUGGUUAAUACCCAUCAGGAAAGACAUCACUCACAGAAGAAGCACCGGCUAACUCCGUGCCAGCAGCCGCGGUAAUACGGAGGGUGCGAGCGUUAAUCGGAAUUACUGGGCGUAAAGCGCGCGUAGGUGGCUUGAUAAGCCGGUUGUGAAAGCCCCGGGCUCAACCUGGGAACGGCAUCCGGAACUGUCAAGCUAGAGUGCAGGAGAGGAAGGUAGAAUUCCCGGUGUAGCGGUGAAAUGCGUAGAGAUCGGGAGGAAUACCAGUGGCGAAGGCGGCCUUCUGGACUGACACUGACACUGAGGUGCGAAAGCGUGGGUAGCAAACAGGAUUAGAUACCCGUGUAGUC
This 465-nucleotide ribosomal RNA is filed under the name Vreelandella stevensii. RNAcentral describes it as "partial 16S ribosomal RNA". It matches the Rfam family "Bacterial small subunit ribosomal RNA", at positions 338 to 795 of the family's 1533-position model. Lineage: Bacteria; Pseudomonadati; Pseudomonadota; Gammaproteobacteria; Oceanospirillales; Halomonadaceae. The record is from RNAcentral.